AUUUAAAUAGUUUAAUAAUUAAAAUAAAGAUUUGUGGUGUCUUAGAUGUUUUUUGCUUAGCUUUAAAUU
RNAcentral lists this transfer RNA (69 nucleotides) under Empoascanara gracilis. Its description in RNAcentral is "tRNA-His". Lineage: Eukaryota; Metazoa; Arthropoda; Insecta; Hemiptera; Cicadellidae. The record is from RNAcentral.